GAAAGAUGCGGGGCGUAUGAAGAUUUCUAAUCUUUUUUAUAGGCAGUUCGACUCUGUUUAUCUUUUU
Molecule: transfer RNA, 67 nt
Filed under: Antigona lamellaris
Lineage: Eukaryota; Metazoa; Mollusca; Bivalvia; Venerida; Veneridae
Description: tRNA-Ser
Source: RNAcentral